AUAGUUAUUAAGUAAGAGAAAUUAGAUAUCUGACAUAGAUAUGAAAGGUUUUUAACCGGACAGAGUCACGACUGGAAGAGAAGAAGAGGUAUUAAAAGUAUGUCAAAAGAAAAAGAAGUAAAUGCCUUAACAGUGUCCGAAUGCAAGGCCGGAAUGGUUGUUAACAGAAACUUUGAAAUACUUUACAAAAAAAGAGAGAAAG
This 202-nucleotide long non-coding RNA is filed under the name Capsicum annuum. RNAcentral's name for it is "long non-coding RNA (CANN_LNC003157)". The record is from RNAcentral. Lineage: Eukaryota; Viridiplantae; Streptophyta; Magnoliopsida; Solanales; Solanaceae.